Molecule: ribosomal RNA, 499 nt
Filed under: uncultured bacterium
Lineage: Bacteria
Description: bacterial SSU rRNA
Rfam family: Bacterial small subunit ribosomal RNA
Source: RNAcentral
GUUUGAUCCUGGCUCAGAUUGAACGCUGGCGGCAUGCCUUACACAUGCAAGUCGAACGGUAACGCGGGGCAACCUGGCGACGAGUGGCGAACGGGUGAGUAAUGCAUCGGAACGUGCCCAGUAGUGGGGGAUAGCCCGGCGAAAGCCGGAUUAAUACCGGCAUACGACCUACGGGUGAAAGCGGGGGACCGUAAGGCCUCGCGCUAUUGGAGCGGCCGAUGUCAGAUUAGGUAGUUGGUGGGGUAAAGGCCUACCAAGCCUUCGAUCUGUAGCUGGUCUGAGAGGACGACCAGCCACACUGGGACUGAGACACGGCCCAGACUCCUACGGGAGGCAGCAGUGGGGAAUUUUGGACAAUGGGCGCAAGCCUGAUCCAGCCAUGCCGCGUGCGGGAAGAAGGCCUCGGGUUGUAAACCGCUUUGUACGGUACGAAAAGACUCCGGCUAAUACCUGGAGUCCGAUGACGGUACCGUAAGAAUAAGCACCGGCUAACUACGUG